This 73-nucleotide transfer RNA is filed under the name Taxus wallichiana. Its description in RNAcentral is "tRNA-Lys". RNAcentral also lists the same sequence under 1 other name. Lineage: Eukaryota; Viridiplantae; Streptophyta; Pinopsida; Cupressales; Taxaceae. The record is from RNAcentral.
GGGUUGUUAACUCAAUGGUAGAGUACUCGGCUUUUAAUUCAUAAAUAAAUUAAAAAAUAUUGGUUGACAUACA